Long non-coding RNA from Mastomys coucha (southern multimammate mouse), 416 nucleotides. RefSeq lists it as uncharacterized. The record is from RefSeq and is a predicted model, not a curated record. Lineage: Eukaryota; Metazoa; Chordata; Mammalia; Rodentia; Muridae. The transcript has 3 exons.
UCCCAACACAAUGAACCUUCACUGGGAAGCGGUUAACGCCACAGCCUCAUAACUGGUGUAAGUGCCAGGCAUAAGUGACAUCGAGCACUCAGUUCUAAACAGGAUAUCUAUAUCAAGUCCCCACUCCCACCCUCAAAACUCUUCCCAGGAAGAGGAAGCAGAGAGGAUGUAGGAGGCAGAGGAUGAGGAGUAGCGCUGUGAAGUACCAGCUGCUUCUAGAUGGCACACGGCCAUUGCACUUCAGAACUCACCGCAGUCCUGAUUGCCAGCACAAGACCUGCAAUGAGCUCAAGCCAAUAAAAACUCUAGCUCGGAUGGAGGCGUGGCCACAGCUGAGGAGCUAUUGGCAAAGGAUGGCUGUUGAGCCUUGAGCGGCAGCAGUAGCCAGGAUGCCUCACAAAGCCAAACAAAUUAGU